This 252-nucleotide ribosomal RNA is filed under the name uncultured bacterium. RNAcentral's name for it is "partial 16S ribosomal RNA". It matches the Rfam family "Bacterial small subunit ribosomal RNA", at positions 524 to 776 of the family's 1533-position model. The record is from RNAcentral.
UACGGAGGGGGCUAGCGUUGUUCGGAAUUACUGGGCGUAAAGCGCACGUAGGCGGCUUUGUAAGUUAGAGGUGAAAGCCCAGGGCUUAACCCCUGGAAUUGCCUUUAAGACUGCAUCGCUCGAAUUGUGGAGAGGUGAGUGGAAUUCCGAGUGUAGAGGUGAAAUUCGAUAGAUAUUCGGAAGAACACCAGUGGCGAAGGCGACUCACUGGACACAUAUUGACGCUGAGUGCGAAAGCGUGGGAGCAACAGG